UACGAAGGGGGCUAGCGUUGUUCGGAUUUACUGGGCGUAAAGCGCACGUAGGCGGAUCUUUAAGUCAGAGGUGAAAUCCCAAGGCUCAACCUUGGAACUGCCUUUGAUACUGGGGAUCUCGAGUCCGGAAGAGGUUGGUGGAACUGCGAGUGUAGAGGUGAAAUUCGUAGAUAUUCGCAAGAACACCAGUGGCGAAGGCGGCCAACUGGUCCGGUACUGACGCUGAGGUGCGAAAGCGUGGGGAGCAAACAGG
Molecule: ribosomal RNA, 253 nt
Filed under: uncultured bacterium
Lineage: Bacteria
Description: partial 16S ribosomal RNA
Rfam family: Bacterial small subunit ribosomal RNA
Source: RNAcentral